Panicum virgatum (switchgrass) is the source of this 652-nucleotide long non-coding RNA. RefSeq lists it as uncharacterized. The transcript has 2 exons. The record is from RefSeq and is a predicted model, not a curated record. Lineage: Eukaryota; Viridiplantae; Streptophyta; Magnoliopsida; Poales; Poaceae.
UUGUGGCCAGCCCACCAAAGUCCGUGGGCUUCCUCCUCUCGUCUCGUCUCACCAGUCGCCACCACCGUCGACUCGUCGACGCCUCCGCCUGCCGCAAUCUUCCGCCCGAUUCCCGUCGCCACGCGCCGCCUCACUCCCUCUCUCUCCCGUGCCGCCAGCUCGCCAGCGCUCCCUCACCUCGCGCUGCCCGACCGCCGAGAAUGCAGCAGGCAACCCUAGGCUAGGGUUUUCACUGGGAUUCUUUGCGCUCGCUCGUCGAUUCGCAUCUUCGGCCGCUGUGCCUCAGCUUCCUCAGCUCCGAUUUGAAGAAACAAGGUGUUCAGUGGGGUAGAAUACUUCUAUCAAGAUUAUCACAGUACUGUAUUAGGUAUUUUAGUUAGUGUAUUAGGUAUUUUAGUUAGUAUUCAGAAAAUCUUAUGAGAUGUCGAGUUGAGCUGCUGCAUGAAGGAACCUGAGAUCAGGCCUACUGCCCUUAUCUGGUUUUUGUUGUAUCCGGAGCUAUCUCUACAAUUUUGACUGACUCACGUCUUCUUGUGAUCAAGCACUUGUAGUUGUUAGUUAGCUUUUCUGUUGCAGUGAGAUCUAAAUGUAAGUAUAUGAGAUUGGAUUAAUACAACUUGCGUUGAGCAAUUCUAAUCUCCUUUGCUGCUGC